Molecule: ribosomal RNA, 440 nt
Filed under: uncultured bacterium
Lineage: Bacteria
Description: partial 16S ribosomal RNA
Rfam family: Bacterial small subunit ribosomal RNA
Source: RNAcentral
CCUACGGGUGGCAGCAGUGGGGAAUAUUGCACAAUGGGCGAAACCCUGAUGCAGCGACGCCGCGUGAGUGAAGAAGUAUCUCGGUAUGUAAAGCUCUGUCAGCCGGGAAGAAAAUGACGGUACCUGACCAAGAAGCCCCGGCUAACUACGUGCCAGCAGCAGCGGUAAUACGUAGGGGGCAAGCGUUAUCCGGAUUUACUGGGUGUAAAGGGAGCGUAGACGGCAGGGCAAGUCUGGAGUGAAAGGCGGGGGCUCAACCCCCGGACUGCUCUGGAAACUGCCAGGCUGGAGUGCAGGAGAGGUAAGUGGAAUGCCGAGUGUAGCGGUGAAAUGCGUAGAUAUCAGGAGGAACACCAGUGGCGAAGGCGGCUUACUGGACUGUAACUGACGUUGAGGCUCGAAAGCGUGGGGAGCAAACAGGAUUAGAUACCCUUGUAGUC